GACGAAGGUAGCAAGCGUUGUUCGGGAUCACUGGGCUUAAAGAGCGCGUAGGCGGUAGCGUAUGUCGGGUGUGAAAUCCCUUGGCUCAACCAAGGAAUUGUGUCCGAAACUACGUUACUAGAGUGCAGAAGAGGACGGCGGAAUUCCUGGUGGAGCGGUGAAAUGCUUAGAUAUCAGGAGGAACACCGGUGGCGUAGGCGGCCGUCUGGUCUGUAACUGACGCUGUGGCGCGAAAGCCAGGGGAGCGAACGGG
RNAcentral lists this ribosomal RNA (253 nucleotides) under uncultured bacterium. RNAcentral's name for it is "partial 16S ribosomal RNA". It matches the Rfam family "Bacterial small subunit ribosomal RNA", at positions 524 to 776 of the family's 1533-position model. The record is from RNAcentral.